CCUCGACCACUCUCUCCCAGAUCUUUAUAGAGUGACUCAAUAACUUAAUCCCCCUAUAGUUAUUGCAACUCUGAAUGUCCCCCUUAUUCUUAUAGAGAGGGAUCAUGGUACUCCACCUCCAAGCCUCGGACAUCUUUGCCGUCCUGAAGAUUUCAUUAAACAAUCCAGUCAAUCACCUUACACUAGCCUCUCCAACGAACUUCCAAAACUCCACCGGUAUCUCAUCCGACCUCGUCGCCCUACCCCUUCGCAUCCUGCGAACAGCCUGUCUAACCUCUUCUACCUUAAAAUGUCUACAAUAGCUAAAAUCCCGACACUCCUCUGAGUGUUCCAGUUCCCCUAACACAAUAGCUCUAUCCCCUUCGUCAUUCAAGAGCCUAUGAAAGUACGACUGCCAUCUAUUCUUAAUAUGGCCGUCCUCCACCAACACUCUACCGUCCUCUCCCUUAAUGCACUUCACCUGAUCGAGGUCACGACCCUUCAUCUCCCUAGCCUUAGCAAGUCUAAACAACUUUUUCUCCCCUUCUUUCCCCUGUAACCCUGUAUACAAGCUCUCAAAAGCGGUCGUCUUAGCUGUCGUGACUGCUGACUUAGCCUCCUUCCUCUCUAGCUUGUACUCUUUCCUGUUUACCCGCUUCUCCUCUUCGUCCUUACUCUCCACCAACUUAGCAUACACUCCUUUCUUGGUCCUUACUUUCUUCUCCACCUCUUCAUUUCACCACCAAUCCCCCCGAUGGUGCCCGGCCCGACCCCUAGAAACACCCAACACCUCACUUGCAUUCUCCUUGAUACACCUCGCCGCCCUAUACUACAUACUAUCCACGUCCCCCCUAUACUCCCACACCCCCAUUCCCGCCAACCUCUCCCCUAUCUCCCACGCAUUCACUGGCGUUAGGCCGCCCCACUUAAUUCUAGGUCUACACUCCUUACUCCUCCUCUUUCUAUCAUUCUUUAUACCCAAAUUCAUAACCAAGAUCCUAUGCUGGGUCGAAAGAUUCUCACUCGGGAUGACUUUACAGUCCUUACACAACGCCCUAUCCCC
Molecule: long non-coding RNA, 1042 nt
Filed under: Capsicum annuum
Lineage: Eukaryota; Viridiplantae; Streptophyta; Magnoliopsida; Solanales; Solanaceae
Description: long non-coding RNA (CANN_LNC014396)
Source: RNAcentral